Molecule: transfer RNA, 91 nt
Filed under: Desulfurella acetivorans
Lineage: Bacteria; Pseudomonadati; Campylobacterota; Desulfurellia; Desulfurellales; Desulfurellaceae
Description: tRNA-Ser
Rfam family: tRNA
About the family: Transfer RNA (tRNA) molecules are approximately 80 nucleotides in length. Their secondary structure includes four short double-helical elements and three loops (D, anti-codon, and T loops).
Source: RNAcentral
GGAGAGGUGGCCGAGUGGUUGAAGGCGGCUGACUCGAAAUCAGCUGAAGACAUUAAGUCUUCCGCAGGUUCGAAUCCUGUCCUCUCCGCCA